RNAcentral lists this ribosomal RNA (253 nucleotides) under uncultured bacterium. RNAcentral's name for it is "partial 16S ribosomal RNA". It matches the Rfam family "Bacterial small subunit ribosomal RNA", at positions 524 to 776 of the family's 1533-position model. The record is from RNAcentral.
UACGGAGGGUGCAAGCGUUAUUCGGAAUUACUGGGCGUAAAGCGCGUGCAGGCGGGUUGAAAAGUCUGAUGUGAAAGCCCGGGGCUUAACCUCGGAAGAGCAUUGGAAACUAUCAGUCUUGAGUUCUGGAGAGGAAGGGGGAAUUCCCGGUGUAGAGGUGAAAUUCGUAGAGAUCGGGAGGAAUACCAGUGGCGAAGGCGCCCUUCUGGACAGUGACUGACGCUGAGACGCGAAAGCGUGGGGAGCAAACAGG